RNAcentral lists this unclassified non-coding RNA (458 nucleotides) under Aechmea romeroi. Its description in RNAcentral is "partial 26S-18S rRNA external transcribed spacer". The record is from RNAcentral. Lineage: Eukaryota; Viridiplantae; Streptophyta; Magnoliopsida; Poales; Bromeliaceae.
ACCAUGUCCACAAAUGAGCAGCCACGGAUUGGUGUGUCCCGCGGGUUCCUUGCCUCUCCCAUUCAACCACCGAAGAGGCCGUCCUUUUAGUCCUGUGCUCAUUCGUAUCUUUAGGCCAUCAUUUUUAGUCAUGUGCAUUGUGUGUGAACCAGCUCUGCAGGAAGUCAACGUGCGAGUUCACCUCACCACCUCGAGCAGGAGGCACAACCACAAUGUGGCCGUCACGCGCACCUUAACAACACAACCCUUGGGCCCCGUGCUAGCUGGGCUCCAGAAGUAUCACAAGCUCUCGCAAAUGCAGCCGGCUUCGGGGACUUCUGGCCCUCGGCCUAGACCUUGGUAGGUCAUUAAGCCACCCUCGUCGAGACAAAGGUCGAUCCACCGAUGGGCCCCCUCCKCUCUCUACGGRCGGUCGGGUGCCUUAACAGCAUCGGCAUCGCAAAGGACAUGCUACCUGG